UCUCUCUCUCUCUCUCUCUCUCUCUCUCUCUCUCUCCUCACCACAAAUUCACAAAUUACAGUUUCUGUUAAAUAUAAAAAUAUAAAAUUAUCAUUCUCUAUGUGGUUUAAGUUUACAGAGAAAAUAAUUAUUUGGAUUUCUUAUUCCUAUCAGAACAAAAAAUUUUAGUUUCGAGCCCGGACGUAAAAAAAAGUGUUACAUAUAAAAAAUAUAAAAAUAUCAUUCUCUAUUGACUUAAAUUUUUGGAGAAAAUAAUUGUUUCACAUUAUUUAACAAUUACAAACUUUCUUUUAUCGUUUUUUGUGGUAAAAAUGUAAAGAAUUCAUCUGAACUAUAGAAUAUUCAGUCUACCGAAAUUUUGAUUUGAACGUCCAAUCUUUCAAUUUAUUUGAUAAUUUUUUUUGUCGUUGUUUAACUAAAAUCAAAUAGAUUAAAAGUUUAGGUAGCAAAGUAAAAUUUUUUAAAAGUUAAAUU
RNAcentral lists this long non-coding RNA (474 nucleotides) under Ananas comosus (pineapple). RNAcentral describes it as "long non-coding RNA (ACOM_LNC030079)". Lineage: Eukaryota; Viridiplantae; Streptophyta; Magnoliopsida; Poales; Bromeliaceae. The record is from RNAcentral.